This 339-nucleotide ribosomal RNA is filed under the name Bacillus sp. (in: firmicutes). RNAcentral describes it as "bacterial SSU rRNA". It matches the Rfam family "Bacterial small subunit ribosomal RNA", at positions 920 to 1267 of the family's 1533-position model. Lineage: Bacteria; Bacillati; Bacillota; Bacilli; Caryophanales; Bacillaceae. The record is from RNAcentral.
CCCGCACAAGCGGUGGAGCAUGUGGUUUAAUUCGAAGCAACGCGAAGAACCUUACCAGGUCUUGCAUCCUCUGACAAUCCUAGAGAUAGGACGUCCCCUUCGGGGGCAGAGUGACAGGUGGUGCAAAAAGUCAGCUCGUGUCGUGAGAUGUUGGGUUAAGUCCCGCAACGAGCGCAACCCUUGAUCUUAGUUGCCAGCAUUCAGUUGGGCACUCUAAGGUGACUGCCGGUGACAACCGGAGGAAGGUGGGGAUGACGUCAAAUCAUCAUGCCCCUUAUGACCUGGGCUACACACGUGCUACAAUGGACAGAACAAAGGGCGGGAAACCGCGAGGUUAAG